CAUUUUUUUUUUUUUUAUUUCAUUUUCUUUCUGUGAUUAUUUGCUUCCAUAAUUAAUGAAUUGUAUGAUAGCGUUGUUUUAGCUGGGGUGAUCUUAAUAAUCUUGCUAUUACUUCCAAGAGUAAUGUGUUAGCAAUUGUGUACUCUCAUAAAUAUUGAAAGUUCAGUCCUUUUGGUUUAAAUCCUCAUUCACUUGUUGAUUAUUGUUGAAUCCUUGCACACACAAUAGAUUAUUUGAAUUACCAAGUGGCUCAUUUUUUAUGUUAUUGCAAAUUAAGAACAAAGCAGUUCCUUCUCUUUGUGAAUUCUUAUGCGCUCUAUGAUGGCAACCAUUUUAAUUAUGCUGACAACUAUAUUUAAUUUCUCAGUCUCCACAUGCCUUGAAGUUGGUGGCCUCUAUUUGGAGGUUUCAAAAGCAAGGAUUAGAAAAAAAAUUAUAUGUGAAUUGUUAUGCUGAGGAAUGGAUGGGUUCAAUCUUCAUUUGGUAAAAUGGGACUAGAUAUGUUCUCCAAUUUAGAAUGGGGGACUAGGCCUUGCUUUUGCCACAGUAGCACUUAUUUUAGUUUGCAAAGAAAUAGUCUUUGGAAGAGAAUAGUAUGUUUGAAUUAUAGGGAGGGAUUUGAUGGGUGCGAUCUACUCCAACUGUGAUUAGCAGCAAUUGAGUAGAUUCAUGGGAAAGCAUAAAAUCAGAAAUGCAAUUUUAUGGAGUAAUAUGCUUUUGUUUGAAAGGAUGAAGUUUAAAGCGAAUUCCUUUUACACUUCUUUUGCAUGCAUUGUUAUCUUUAACUACACGGCUUGAACUGCAUCUUCUUAAGGUACAUGGUCUUUCACAUUGCCCUGUUAGUAUCUAAAUUUGUGGUCUUUCACAUUGCCCUGUUAAUAACUAAAUUUGUGUAUGGCAUUGGGGUCCCUUUAAUUGGAGUACUGGUUCCAUGCUCUUUGCAUGAGGCUCAUUCUUUUGUAUCUAAUUCCGAUUCAGAUGCAUCUUUUUCUGAAUCUCUAUAUGGAUUGUGGAGAAGAGCAGUGAAGAUAAGAGCAAAUAAAAACUAUGCUCUUUUGAAAUCAAGGGAUGGAUUUGAGCUCUCUGGGUUAGAAAAGCGCCAAAAAAUUCUCUCAGUUGUAUUUCUGGUUGUGCUGCCUUAUUUUAAGUCAAAACUGCAUUCGAUAUACAACAGAGAAAGGGAAGCCAGGCUUCAAGCAAGUAUUUUGGGGGAUGGUGUUGAAACAUUUGAAGAUGCUGAUUAUUUUGAUAGAGGGGAGGGUUCUCUUGUUUCUAGGGGAACUGUGUAUGCAGAAGCAACAAUUAGAUCACGCUUGACAAAGAGACUUCAGAAGAUUGUAUUUGCUUGCUACCCAUGGUUGCAUGCUACUAGUGAAGGAUUGUCAUUCACUUAUCAACUCUUAUAUCUGUUUGAUGCUACUGGGUUCUAUUCUUUAGGAUUACAUGCGCUUGGGAUUCAUGUUUCUCGAGCAACAGGGCAAGAACUGGUAUUCAAUUGUGCAAGAUUUCUGUUGGGAAUUUAUGUUUAUAGAGCACCCAUACUCCCCUUUUACACUCCCUCCUCCCUUUUGUGUAUUACAUGCAAAUCUGCAACUGUUGACCUCAGCUUUGUGAUUUUCAUGGACAGAAGUUUACAAUCAGAGUUGGGUAAUAAAGCCAUUAGAUGCACAAGUAUCUUACAUAUAGGCGCAAUUUAGUAACUUGAUUUUUAGACUAUUUAGGACAUUUCUUUACAACUUUUCAACACCAAUAUAGAUUUGUUAAACCUUGAUGAUAUCUCUGGCAGACAACAUUUUCAGAUACUUGGAAAUUCAAUCAUGUAAAUAUUUAAUAUUAAUAAUGAAUUAGGAGCAAUAAUGAUUUGCACAAGCAAUUUCUUAAAUUAGAGAAACUUGAUUUUUAUAGUGUCAACUAACAUUUUAUUUUCUUUUACAUGCCUUGACUUUUGUUUUCUGGGCAAAUUACUUGUAAAAUUCUUUUGAUGUCAAGGUAGAUGGAUACUUCUUCUAGAAUUUCUAAGAUACGAAGUUGUGAAUGUGAGAGACUUCGUGGACCUCCAUGGUAGAAGGCUUCAUGAGGAGCAUUACUGAGGUGUACGUAUACAAUGCUUGACUAUGCACAAACUGGCUUAAUUGCAGCAGUUUUCUUCUUUAAAAUGAUGGAAUGGUGGUACCAAUCUGCUGAGGAGAGAAUGUCAGCUCCAACUGUGUAUCCACCACCACCACCUCCUCCACCUCCAAAGGUGAACAUCAAACAUUUUAAUCUGGGAAUCCCUGAUCUCUCCUUCUUUCUCAAACAUGUGCACAUUAAUAUGUUCCAUGGCUUUUUUUUCUUAUUCUUACACUGAUUCCUUGGAAGCAUGUCAUUUGACCGGUGGAAAAUAUGUAUCAGAUGAUGUCUCUCCAUAGAUAUUGAAGGGAACAUCUCCCUUUCUUGGAUUUUUUUCACCGAAUAAAAUAAUCAUUAUCAAAUAUAUUCAGCUCUUACUGAGCUUUGUAGUAGAAGUUUGAAGUUUGUUGCUAGUUCGUAUAAAAAUGUCAUGUUUUCUUUGUGAUGUAAACAGGUAGCCAAAGAGGGGAUUCCACUGCCACCUGAUAGAACAAUCUGCCCCUUGUGCACACAGAAGCGCGCAAAUCCUUCUGUAGUUACAGUAUCAGGGUUUGUCUUUUGUUAUGCUUGCAUAUUCAAAUACGUAUCUCAGUAUAACCGCUGCCCUGUCACAUUGAUGCCAGCGACUGUUGACCAAAUAAGGAGGCUCUUUCAUGAUGUGUAGGGACCUUAUUGAUGUAUAGCAUUUUUGGUACAAGAAUUCAAUGAUCAAGUUCACUGUGCUGACAGAUGCUUAGGUACAGGCGAAGACAUUGCAAGAUUGUCAAAAUUAUGUGAACUUACAAUUUGAACUAAAUCAUAUUAAUAACAGUAACAUGCAAGAUUCGAUAGUCCCUCUUGGGCAAUAAUUGUAGCCAUCUAACAGUAGAUGUUCACUUAUUUGAAUUUGUAUCCUAGCAAUUUUCUCCCUCGCAUUCUUUUAUGUCUUUAAGUUUGAAAAAAUGUACCUUAGUCCUUAGCUGUCUUUAAAACUUUAAAAGGAAAUUUCCAAAUGCCUGAAUGAGAUAUGGAGACAAAGCAGUGAAAUGAACUACUGUCCGAUACACUCCGACGAUCGGUAGAAAAAGAAAAUAAUAACUCAUGGAUAUUCAUGUCACGUUAAGGUCUAACAUAGAACUGCACCAAGCAAGACGCUAAUCCUGAACUGCAAAACACUAUUGAGACCCUUGCUGAACUUGGGCACUAACUUUGUCCAAGGCCCUCUCCAGCCUUGCUUCAAAUGGGGUAGAAUUCCACUUCACUCUCUCAUCCUCCCCACUUUUGCUUAUGGUGUUGAGCAUUCCUUUGCUAGAAGAGCCUGAAUCUGAAUCCAUUGUCCGUCCAGUAUGACGCCAGUAGCUCCCAACAGUUCCUAUUAUGGGUAUUUCAUCAAGACUCUGGCUUCUUCCUUGUCUAGAAGAAGUAGAAGGAGAAACUUGCUUGAGUUCCUUCAUGGUCAGUUCUCCUAAAAUAGGCCUAUCUUUGUGACUUCUUGGCGAACUUGCCCUCCCAGAUGCUGAGUUCCUAACAGAAGUAGCACUGCCUUUCGACAAGGGUGUUGUUUCAGACUCAACCAACCAACUAGAUAGGCUAGUAUCGACUGCAAUUUCUUGGUCCAAAGGCUUCUGAUGAUCAGCAUUUGCUUUUGAAUUAUUGGUCAAUAGCUUAAAACUAGGCUCUGGACUAAUGUGUAUACCAAAAUGUUGCUCUAUAUUGAUGUUUUCCUUAUGUUGAUGGUGCAGGGGUAAGGUUGCUCCUUUGACUGCCUUCCACUGUGUAAAAUUUUCUACUGGAUUCAACACAGAAUCGACAUACCGAGUCCUAUCCCGAAUAUUUGGAUUACACCCAAUUGGCUUAAGUUCCUCCUGAGGUGAAUUACACUCCGGCAUUGGACUAGAGACCUCCUUCUCACCUACUUCAGCUCCACACACAUAUUUUCUUGAAUCAAUUGAUAAUGAAAACAAUGAUUCAGACGACUCUUCUUGAACCAAAAUUUUACCAUCAACACCCACAUUAUCUCUAACAUCAUCAAAAUCACUAUCUUCCAAAUCUAAAUCUUCAGAUUCUUCCUUCGUAUAAUUUUGAUAUCUGUGGUUUGGAGGAUAAGAAGCUCCAUCUGAUGAAAUCAAAUUAGGAAUUGAUUUGCUCUCAUCUGAUGGUUCUUCAUCUUUGUUUUCACUCUCUUUCUUCUCAUUGUUUUCUACUACAUUAUCAGUAGCUUCUCCAACAGAUAAACCCUUAUAGGUCUUGGCAUUCAAAUCAAAGGUAACUUUCCUUUUCCCAUUGCAGCUCAACUCUUUUUCAAGCUUCUCUCUAAGAACAUAAACAAAUAAAUACUCACAUACAAACCAACAACUAUCAACGUAAACAAAACCAACGACCAAAUCUCCUUUUAAACGUAACAAACAAAGAGCAAAAUCCAUACUUUCAAGUCAUAAUAUCGAAUAGCUUACUUGGAUUCUGUAGCGGGCUUAAUGGGUUCUUCAGUGACUUGCUGCUUUGUAGUAAAAUAAAUUUGCUGAGCUUCACUGGCUCCAUCACU
Molecule: unclassified non-coding RNA, 4630 nt
Filed under: Hevea brasiliensis (rubber tree)
Lineage: Eukaryota; Viridiplantae; Streptophyta; Magnoliopsida; Malpighiales; Euphorbiaceae
Source: RNAcentral